RNAcentral lists this ribosomal RNA (293 nucleotides) under uncultured bacterium. Its description in RNAcentral is "partial 16S ribosomal RNA". It matches the Rfam family "Bacterial small subunit ribosomal RNA", at positions 373 to 659 of the family's 1533-position model. The record is from RNAcentral.
GGGCGCAGCCUGAUCCAGCCAUGCCGCGUGAGUGAAGAAGGCCUUCGGGUUGUAAAGCUCUUUCGGUGGGGAAGAAAUUGCUUCGGAUAAUACCUGGAGUAGAUGACGGUACCCGCAUAAGAAGCACCGGCUAACUACGUGCCAGCAGCCGCGGUAAUACGUAGGGUGCGAGCGUUAAUCGGAAUUACUGGGCGUAAAGCGUGCGCAGGCGGUUGUAUAAGUCAGAUGUGAAAUCCCCGGGCUCAACCUGGGAACUGCAUUUGAGACUGUACGGCUGGAGUUUGGCAGAGGGA